RNAcentral lists this ribosomal RNA (325 nucleotides) under uncultured eukaryote. Its description in RNAcentral is "partial 18S ribosomal RNA". It matches the Rfam family "Eukaryotic small subunit ribosomal RNA", at positions 1470 to 1796 of the family's 1831-position model. The record is from RNAcentral.
CCCUUAGAUGUUCUGGGCUGCACGCGCGCUACACUGAAGCGUUCAACGAGUAUUCACCUUGCCCGGGAGGGUUGGGUAAUCUUUUGAAAACGCUUCGUGAUGGGGAUAGAUUAUUGCAAUUAUUAAUCUUCAACGAGGAAUUCCUAGUAAGCGCGAGUCAUCAGCUCGUGCUGAUUACGUCCCUGCCCUUUGUACACACCGCCCGUCGCUCCUACCGAUUGAGUGGUCCGGUGAAUAAUUCGGACUGCAGCACUGCUUGGUCUCCAGGCUUUGCAGCGGAAAGUUUAGUGAACCUUAUCACUUAGAGGAAGGAGAAGUCGUAACA